This 392-nucleotide ribosomal RNA is filed under the name uncultured bacterium. RNAcentral describes it as "partial 16S ribosomal RNA". It matches the Rfam family "Bacterial small subunit ribosomal RNA", at positions 523 to 918 of the family's 1533-position model. The record is from RNAcentral.
AUACGGAGGAUCCGAGCGUUAUCCGGAUUUAUUGGGUUUAAAGGGUGCGCAGGCGGCCAUUUAAGUCAGCGGUUAAAUCGUGGGGCUCAACCCCAUUCUGCCGUUGAUACUGGGUGGCUUGAUUGCGGUCGAGGUUGGCGGAAUUCGUUGUGUAGCGGUGAAAUGCAUAGAUAUGACGAAGAACACCGAUUGCGUAGGCAGCUGACCAGAUCGCAAAUGACGCUCAUGCACGAAAGUGCGGGGAUCGAACAGGAUUAGAUACCCUGGUAGUCCGCACAGUAAACGAUGAAUACUCGCUGUUUGCGAUAUACAGUAAGCGGCCAAGCGAAAGCAUUAAGUAUUCCACCUGGGGAGUACGCCGGCAACGGUGAAACUCAAAGGAAUUGGCGGGG